Molecule: ribosomal RNA, 508 nt
Filed under: uncultured bacterium
Lineage: Bacteria
Description: partial 16S ribosomal RNA
Rfam family: Bacterial small subunit ribosomal RNA
Source: RNAcentral
GAUGAACGCUAGCUACAGGCUUAACACAUGCAAGUCGAGGGGAAACGAUAGAGAAAGCUUGCUUUUUCUAGGCGUCGACCGGCGCACGGGUGAGUAGCGCGUAUCCAACCUGCCCACCACUUGGGGAUAACCUUGCGAAAGUAAGACUAAUACCCAAUGACGUCCAUAGAAGACAUCUGAAAUGGAUUAAAGAUUUAUCGGUGAUGGAUGGGGAUGCGUCUGAUUAGCUUGUUGGCGGGGUAACGGCCCACCAAGGCGACGAUCAGUAGGGGUUCUGAGAGGAAGGUCCCCCACAUUGGAACUGAGACACGGUCCAAACUCCUACGGGAGGCAGCAGUGAGGAAUAUUGGUCAAUGGGCGAGAGCCUGAACCAGCCAAGUAGCGUGCAGGAUGACGGCCCUAUGGGUUGUAAACUGCUUUUAUAAGGGAAUAAAGUGAGUCUCGUGAGACCUUUUGCAUGUACCUUAUGAAUAAGGACCGGCUAAUUCCGUGCCAGCAGCCGCCGUAA